Molecule: long non-coding RNA, 1640 nt
Filed under: Brassica rapa (field mustard)
Lineage: Eukaryota; Viridiplantae; Streptophyta; Magnoliopsida; Brassicales; Brassicaceae
Description: long non-coding RNA (BRAP_LNC003476)
Source: RNAcentral
CUUCUUCUAAUGUCUGAGUCCCUCAUGUUCUCACAUGGAUAACUUCUUUUCACAGCUCCACCACCAGACAUGUAAUCACCGGGUUGUCAUUGCUACCUUAGUUUUUGAUCAUUGUCAUUAACAAUGUUAAACAAUGAUCAAAAACUUUCGUAGUUUCCCGACAUAGCAAAAUGAAGUUAAUGUACUGACUUGAUUCUCAAAAUUUGGUUGGGCUGGGCGCUAGUGACAAUUGUAUAUGAGCUCUGCUGUUUGGAUGAGAAGUUGAAUCGAGAAACCUUCAACUGGAAGGUGAAGGUGCGGCCGAAAUUUUUUUUUGAUGCAUUAUAGAAGGGCCGAACUCCGGGGGUCUUGGAGCCCUGCGUUCUGGUGAGGGAUAAUAUUUCAGUUACUUGAAUAUGCAGUUUACGUAAAAUACGGACAGAGAAAUGUGCGUAAGUUGGUAAGUGUUACCAUUUGUUGGGAGACCUCUCCAACCCUGGUAUUUGUCAACUAACUUAUUACAGUAUCAAAAGCUACAAACUCAGUUGAGUCAGAUGCAUCGGAGACUGUCACAUUAACAAUUUCAGAAUGUGACAUAUAAUGUCUAUAAAAGUUUACUAUCAACAAAGCUGGAAGGAGGAAGAAUUUUGUGCUGAUAAAACAUUACCUCACAACCCCAAUUGAAUUCUCUUUAUUACAUGAAACGCAAGUGAAGGAGGAGAAGCCUCGUUACAGUAUGCGAAAAAUCUUAGUGCACGAAAUGUAGCACCAUCAGUAGAUGGUAUCAAUGCCACUUACUACCCCAGUGCAUAGGAACUUAACGUUCUACAACAAUGUAAAUUAAGAGAGGCAAAGGUUAUCUUGUGUUUACCAGUGGGGAGGCGUUCAAAACAAAGGAAUUAAGCUCAGCCAAUGUUACCGACUCUAUCUUCCUCAAUGUCUGACGUGACAAUUUUGAAUCUCGCUCUUUCUUCUCCGGCCGAUCUCUCAUCUUUACCACCUCAUGAUGAUGUCCACGGGUCUCUGACAGAUAGGAACAAAGCAAAUAAAAAAAAUCAUCAGAUAAGCUUAAAUAUUUGAAGGAGGAGGUCGAAGCAAUCAAUACCUGAGAAUUUCCGUCUCUGUUUUGUAAUUCCAUUUGAAGAAGGCACGAUGGUAGAUGAUCGUCAAGCUUCCCUGGUUCAACAAAUAAAACAAUAUGCGUGAAUUCUUUUGUUACACCCGAGUUCUAGCUUCCCAACUCCGAGCAAUUGUGCUACUUCUCACCAAAUAUGUUUCAUAUGAAGCUAUCUUUUGAGUAUCCUCGGGUUUCAACAAAUAAAACAAUAUGCGUGAAUUCUUUUGUUACACCCGAGUUCUAGCUUCCCAACUCCGAGCAAUUGUGCUACUUCUCACCAAAUAUGUUUCAUAUGAAGCUAUCUUUUGAGUAUCCUCGGGUUUAAAUUUGCCAUUUUGUACUGUUGUUUUGCUGCAUACAUCAAAUAAACAAAAAUCAAUUCUCAGGAAAAUAAGAAUUUCAAAUCAGAAACAGCCAAUGAAAUAUAUUGUCAUUAACAUGUAUAUAGAAAAUAUCUUUCCCACACUCCUCAUCACAGAUACUGAGCUCAAAAUACUCUUGCUCCUCAGACUCUUCCUUAGGUAUCUCAGUCUCAUCUACAUGU